CCGCGAGGGGAGAACGGCCCGGCCCGGAGCCGCGAGGGGGGAGCGGGCCCGGCCCGGCCCGGGGAGCGGGGAACGGUCCCGUUCCCCCCUCACGGGUCCGGGCCAGGGCCGCGCGGGGCUCCCGUGACGGCGGAGGGCGCCGGUGUCCGGGGCUGGCUCGGUGCUCUCCAGCCGGCUCGGCUGGCAGCUCGUGUGGUGAAAUCGGUCACUCGGUAACGCGGGCUCGCCCCAGGACGCCCACCGUGCUGGUUUUGCUUCACGGGGAGAAAGGCCGAGGCUCGGGGGUAAGCGAAUAUCUGUGAGGCUUCCCGCAGGUAAACACGGUGAAAUGCCAUCGUCAGGGGUUGCUCCAGAGGCGGAAGACAUUUUAGCCGAAAAACAACAUUGAUCAACCGGCUAGUUUAAAAUCGUUCCAACAUCAGACAGCUUUCCUCCAGUGGAAAUACGUGCGGGAGCUUUAAUGGGGCCAGAAAUGGAUCCAGCUGUGAGCGGUGCUCACAGAACAUCUGCCCUAGGUGCCGCCAGGAAUUUCAGCAGCUCUAGCUCAGCCCUCUAAAGCAUCUCUGGGCACCAGCUCUGCAAAGAGCCCCCGGGCCGAGCAGCAGAGCAGAGCUGGGUACCCAAACACAGCAACAGCCCCACCUGAACCCUGCCCCCAGCACGGGUGACAGCUGAAAGGUCACCGGUGUGUGCUAGAAAGUGACAGGUACGGGGUUUUCAGGGGAAAAAAAAGGUAUGUGAAGGGUUUUGCAUUGUGAGGAAGGGCAGGGUGUGAGCCCUCACAUUGCUGUGAAGUGUCACACAUGCUCUGCUGCUGAGCCCAGUUUUGCCUCAGCUCUCCAUGGCAAAAUGAGUUUCAAGUAAGCAAGGCAUUUACACAGUGACAAUGCAGGAUUCUGACAAUUUGCUUUACUUCCAAUCCUAAACAAAAAUGUAUUAGGAACCCAAAAGCAUGUUUUCACACUGCUCCAAUGCAGACACAGCCAGGAUGCCUGUAAGCACACUGAUAACCUGCAAGAGCACCACACUGCAGAGUGCAGCAUCAUUCAUAGCCUCAGGCAGCACCAGGGGACGUUCAGGUUGGACAUCAGCAAGGAUUUCUUCCCUGAAAGUGUUGUCAAGCACUGGCAUGGUGGAGGAGUCACCAUCUGUGGAGGUGUGCAAGAAACAACUGAAUGAAACACUGAGUGCUCUGCUCUGGUUGACAGGGUGGAUCCAGGUCACCCCUGUGGUCCCUUCCAGCCUGGAUUGCUGUGUGCUUCCCUGAACUCUUCCCGACAGCUGAGGGAGCAGCCAGGGGGCAGGUGAUGCUCCGCAGCAGACUUGGACACUAAUGGAAGUUCCUCAGAGAUCCUGGUAUUGAUAACCACAUAAGCUCUUUGUUCACCAUUGAAUGGCACCUGAUUUUAAUUUUUAAUUUAUAUGUAUUAUCUCAUAUAUAGAGUGUGAAGCCUCCAGAGUACAUCUAACAUGACUCUUUGAUUGUA
Non-coding RNA from Taeniopygia guttata (zebra finch), 1487 nucleotides. Lineage: Eukaryota; Metazoa; Chordata; Aves; Passeriformes; Estrildidae. The record is from RefSeq and is a predicted model, not a curated record.